GGAGAAUCCUGUAGGCGGAGUCCGGAUCGCUUCGCAAUCUAUAGGUCAGGGGUUCGAAUCCCCUAUUCUCCACGA
Molecule: transfer RNA, 75 nt
Filed under: Spirochaetae bacterium HGW-Spirochaetae-3
Lineage: Bacteria; Pseudomonadati; Spirochaetota
Description: tRNA-Ala
Source: RNAcentral